AUACGGAGGAUGCGAGCGUUAUCCGGAUUUAUUGGGUUAAAGGGAGCGUAGGUGGGAUAUUAAGUCAGCUGUGAAAGUUUGGGGCUCAACCUUAAAAUUGCAGUUGAUACUGGUUUCCUUGAGUACGGUACAGGUGGGCGGAAUUCGUGGUGUAGCGGUGAAAUGCUUAGAUAUCACGAAGAACUCCGAUCGCGAAGGCAGCUCACCGGGCCGGAACUGACACUGAUGCUCGAAAGUGCGGGUAUCAAACAGGAUUAGAUACCCUGGUAGUCCGCACAGUAAACGAUGAAUACUCGCUGUUUGCGAUACACUGUAAGCGGCCAAGCGAAAGCGUUAAGUAUUCCACCUGGGGAGUACGCCGGCAACGGUGAAACUCAAAGGAAUUGACGGGG
This 392-nucleotide ribosomal RNA is filed under the name uncultured bacterium. Its description in RNAcentral is "partial 16S ribosomal RNA". It matches the Rfam family "Bacterial small subunit ribosomal RNA", at positions 523 to 918 of the family's 1533-position model. The record is from RNAcentral.